GGACUGCUACGGGAGGCAGCAGUUAAGAAUCUUGCGCAAUGGGGGAAACCCUGACGCAGCCACGCCGCGUGAACGAUGAAGGCUUUCGGGUUGUAAAGUUCAGUAGAAUGGGAAGGAUAAGUCAAGUCGAAUAGGCUUGGUGAUGACGGUACUAUUCUGAAGCCCCGGCUAAUUACGUGCCAGCAGCCGCGGUAAUACGUAUGGGGCGAGCGUUGUUCGGAUUUAUUGGGCGUAAAGGGCACGCAGGCGGAUUGGUAAGUUGGAUGUUUAAGCGUUAGGCUCAACCUAAUAACAGCAUCCAAAACUGCCUUUCUAGAAUCCUGGAGAGGAAAGCGGAAUUCUCGGUGUAGCGGUGGAAUGCGUAGAUAUCGAGAGGAACACCAAUGGCGAAGGCAGCUUUCUGGACAGAGAUUGACGCUCAGGUGCGAAAGCGUGGGGAGCAAACAGGAUUAGAUACCCUGGUAGUCCACGCCUUAAACGUUGUAUACUAGAUGUUGGGGGUUUCAACGCCCUCAGUGUCGUCGCUAACGCAGUAAGUAUACCGCCUGGGGAGUAUGCCCGCAAGGGUGAAACUCAAAGGAAUUGACGGGGGCCCGCACAAGCGGUGGAGCAUGUGGUUUAAUUCGAUGAUACGCGAAAAACCUUACCCGGGCUUGACAUCCACUAGACAGGUGUAGAGAUACACUCUCCUUUAUGGCUGGUGGACAGGUGUUGCAUGGUUGUCGUCAGCUCGUGUUGUGAAAUGUUGGGUUAAGUCCCGCAACGAGCGCAACCCUUUCCUUAUGUUGCUACCAGUUCGGCUGGGCACUCUUAAGGUACCGCCGGUGAUAAACCGGAGGAAGGUGAGGAUGACGUCAAAUCAGCAUGGCCCUUACGUCCGGGGCUACACACGUGCUACAAUGGCCGGUACAGAGGGACGCCAAGCCGCGAGGCGGAGCAAAUCUCAGAAAGCCGGUCCAAGUUCGGAUUGUAGUCUGCAACUCGACUACAUGAAGCCGGAAUCGCUAGUAAUCGCGGAUCAGCAUUGCCGCGGUGAAUACGUUCCCGGGCCUUGUACACACCGCCCGUCACACCACCCGAGUUUGAGGUGCCCGAAGUGGACGCGCUAACCGAAAGGAGGCAGUUUACUAAGGCAAAGUAGGCGAGGGGGGUGAAGUCGUAACAAGGUAGCCGUACCGGAAGGUGUGGCUG
RNAcentral lists this ribosomal RNA (1191 nucleotides) under metagenome. RNAcentral's name for it is "bacterial SSU rRNA". It matches the Rfam family "Bacterial small subunit ribosomal RNA", at positions 333 to 1520 of the family's 1533-position model. The record is from RNAcentral.